AUAAGAUACGAGGAUUACACAUGACAAUUGGCAAAGGGGUGAGAAAAGAAAUACCGCGAGCCUGCGAUUACAUUUGUCGUCGAGAGCAGGUCUAGGCAGGAAUUACAGACAUAAGUCCUUCAGCCCCAUGUAGCAAUUUAAUUAAAUUUCGUCAAGUUGGACUCACUGCCGUUCACUGGGCUGAUUUUGUAUAGAACCCAGCUAGUACAUGCACCUCUGUAGGGUCAAAUGCUGCUGAGUUGACCCAGGCUCUUCACAGUUGUCAAAUUUCUCAUGAAAUGCCACCUGUUCCUGUAUACAGAGCAAGAGGUAUUUCAAUACAAUCUCAAAGCUAUAAUAUUGGACACCAAGCCUCACAUUUGGUCAGGGCCAGACGUAAAACAAUCAUUGUGUGCGACUUGUAGAUAAGGUUUUCAGUUUUAUACAACCACCGAUUUUGGCCUCAUGAGGACGAGUGAUACAACUGGCCACUCGUACGUCGAAGUCUUCAUACCGACCAAAGUAAUGCCAAAUACAACAACGUGGAUUUUACAACAGAUACCAUGACUGAACAACAUUCUUGGAAGGUAAUGGCCGAUACUUUUAUAAACGACUACUCCAUCAAGAUUAAACUGGGAAUCGAGUUUGAUCCGUGGCUACUGUCAGUCGCUGAAGCAAUCCACAAGGUGGUCGAAAUGCGUCGAUCGUUUCUCAUCCUUUUAUUCGGCCUCUGUGUUGUCAUAACCAUCACUUCGGCAGGGGUCUUCAAAAUGCAUUCGCGUAUCACGAAUCCCAUCGCGUCGUUCUUUGCCAACGCGAAACCCAAUAAUGCGAACAGAACUCAAAGCACCAGCCUGGGAAAUGUAGUCGACUACGUGGGCUAUUUCAGUACUGCGGACGACUACAAACCUUAUUACAACACGGAAGCUGUUCUGUCGCAUACGCACACUCUUUCGUCAUCGGCAUACAUCGGUGGCUCGUCCAUUCCGAUUGCCCCACCCAAAAGAGGAACGUACCAAUAUGAUACGUGCGGGAGCAACAUAGUAGUCCCGUUGACUUAUAAUCGCAAAAUCUUGGCGGAGCAAGCCCUCAGACCUACUUACAAAUCGACUGAUUUUCCUGCCGGACGCACCUACCCAUUGGUUUGCAAUUGGAAUGUGCAGGUGAGUAAAAACUGCAGUCGUGCUAGAAUCACAAUGAGAGUUGACGGCCGCAGUCGAUUGCCAGAUGAAGAAGGUUGCGCCAAAGGAUACAUUCGCGUCCUCCUUUUAUGAAAGAGGCCAAGAUUUGUGGGCGCGUCAACUACAUUCAACCGUAUUAUUGGUAUGUAGAAGAUCAAAAGUCGGAAACUGUCACCAUCACCAUGAAAAAUAUCGGCCUGAAUGAUGGCUUCUCUGAGGGAUUCUCUUUUACCUUGUCAGGCGAAUGUCUUCCGAUUGAAAUUGGCAUAAAAAAUUCGAUGUCAACAAGGAAAACGCAGGAUCGAAUAGCCGAUGGAUGUACCGUCUUUAUCGGACUCUGCUGUUUCCGGUGUUCCAACGGUGGUCAUUCCGGGUGUCGUUGCCGGCACGGAUAACAAUCCCGUUCCAGCAAAUAUCCCGCAUGUUGCAAAUGAUCCCGCAAAAUUUCCGCCGGUCGACACGGGUAACGAUGCCGAGAUGUUGAUGCUCAUUCAGAAAGACAAAGAGCGGAACCAGACAACGACAACUACUGCCACGACGUCGACUACAACCACCACCGAACAGACUACUAAGACCACUCCCACGACAACUCCUACGACAACAACUACGAAACGCCCAAUUCCUGAUUUUGAUCUUGAGACUCCAUGGGAUGUCCUCAAACCGUUAAAACCAACGACCCGACCAUUUCCCUCAACCUCUUCCACGAGCAUAAAUGUUUCGAAACCUACCGUCCCAACGUCUUUUUGAGUGAACCUAAACCUCAUCCUAUACUCAGCGUCAAGUUCCCUAAUCGCGUCCAAUUCACGUCCACCACGAUCUUCCCGCCGAGCACGAGUGCAAAACCUACCAAGAAACCCGUCGAUUCCACUUUUGAUUUAGAAACUCCAUGGCAAACACUCAAAACCAAUCCUCGCUACCGAUAAUACCUCCCCUUUCAACCAGCACCACCAAAGCUCCUUUGGCCAGUUGCGACAACACAAUCGUCCAUCACGAUCCUGAAAUAUAACCGCCGCAACCAGUCCAUCUCGGCUUACAAACCUGACCCGCAGCCUUCCGUCAGUCUGCCUGAGGACAGUACAAAAUGGAAACUCCCUGUUGCGUCUGCGGUGACUUAUCUUGAUUCGCCCUACUCGAAUCAGCCGUCCUUGUCGGAAAUUGAUUCUGAAAAUGACGACGGAGGUUCCAAUGAAUUGAUUGUAGAAAAUCAAGAGGUACCCGACCUUCCUAUUGACGACGUGGUCGAUGAUGCUCUAUCGUACAUUACUACGCUCUUAGAUAAUCCACUAUUACAAAAAUCACUGCCGAAAAAACCUCUAAGAAAAAGUCCAAAUCUGGUAGUAUUCAAAGGUUUGAGUGAUUAUCCCUCAAUUGCAUAAUACUUAAUAAGCAUAUUCACGAAAGAAAAAUUACAAAUUAUUUUUAAGCAAAUCCAAAUAUUUUAUAUCAUCUAUAUGGGUAUGUCGUUCCGUAUUAUUGAAAGACGUUACUGUUAUCAUUUGUUGCAUUUUUUUUUUUAAAUUCAACACUCAACAUUUCGAAAAUAUGUUUCUGCCAAUUUGAUACCGAAGAUGGUUGUCUGGCAUCACGAGAAAUUGUGAAAUAAAACGAGAAUUUAAUCUAA
Molecule: small RNA, 2781 nt
Filed under: Daphnia magna
Lineage: Eukaryota; Metazoa; Arthropoda; Branchiopoda; Diplostraca; Daphniidae
Description: uncharacterized LOC116923727
Source: RNAcentral